Cottoperca gobio is the source of this 2829-nucleotide long non-coding RNA. Ensembl lists it as uncharacterized. Lineage: Eukaryota; Metazoa; Chordata; Actinopteri; Perciformes; Bovichtidae. The record is from Ensembl.
UAUCACUCUCCCCUGCAGCUUAUUGCAUCUCCUCCUCGGUGUGUCAGGUUGUCAGGCAAGUCGGUCUCCUGCAGCACAGGCUGUCGUUAAGACCGUCGCGCUCUUGCCCCCUUCAUCCCGAGGUCACCUUCUGCCAUGGAGCGGACCCCGCUGUGUCUGUGUGUCGCGGUCGCCCUGCUGAUUACUGGUGAGUACUGAAGUUAAAAUCACAGUGGUUGUUCUUUGAACUUCUCUGUAGCAAUAAGCCAUCCUCUCCUCUGCGGGCGCUCAGGCUCGCAAGGUUGCAAGUUGUGGCAAUCGGACUUAACGGGUCAAUGACCAUCUGAGUGCGUGUGCUAUUUUGGUGUACAUGUUUCGUGCGAACUUCCCAGGGUCGACUGGGACAGUCUGUUACACUGCUGUGGAAUCGCUGGACUUAAGAUGCCUCCUGCGGUGGGAUUGUCCCCGUGCCAGUCCUAAUACCACCUACACCGUGCAGACAAAGACUCAGGGGGACCCCUGGCAGGACGUACCGUGGUGCGUUUGGAUCUCGUCCUGCAGCUGCGAUGUCUCGCAGGCCUUCUCAAACUUUGAACUGUACAACAUGAUUCGUCUGGGUGUCCACCUCAGCCCCAGCUCCACUGUCUGGAUGAAGCCACGCAAGUUCGACUACAGUGACUUCACCUUCAGCCCUCCCUCUGUCUCGGCCUCUUUGAAAGACGAACAGCUGCUGGUGAAGGUGCAGUUCCCCUGUGCUGCCAACAGGAGGUGCUCUCUGGGGCGGUGCUGUCCCAUCUCUGAAUUGAUUGACCCCUGGACCACAGUGACUGUGUACAACAAGCUCAAUCACUCCGAGUACCAGAGCCGUACAGUUUGGACCCAGCAAGUUGUGUCCCAUGUGGAGUUCUCAGGUUUGUCUCCAGGUCAGAACUACUGUGCUGUGGCCAACUUCUCCUUCCCGACCUUCUCCAUGGCGGCUUCCCCGAAGUCUGCCCCUCAGUGUGUGGAGACCGUUUCCAAAUCAGGGCGGCUGCUGCCUGCGCUGUUUCUGGGAAUCGGGCUGACUUCUCUGUUCAUAGUUCCACUUCUCACCGUGUUUCUGAGAAGACCCAGACGAGCUGAACCAACCACUGAAAAUCAACCAAAGACUCCGGUAUGAUAGAAAAGAAUUCGUUGAUUCGUUGCUAUUUCUCCUUGACGGACUUUUCACCUUUUUCUUAAGGCGUCCAUUCAUGAUCCAGUCUCUUCGGUCCCCCUCCCCCCGGUCCCUGUCGACCCUCGUGACAUCCACCUGGAGUUUGUGAGUCUUGCAGCCAGCGCUGGACAAAGGUUUGGCUGAACCCAUCAUACAUCACUAAAGGGAAAGAAACGCUCUGGGUUGUUUGCAUUUCUUUAAGUCUUGGACGGCGCUGAGCCCAGGAUGCAGCGACGGCGCCCUGUCGACAUGCCCCUGCAAACAUAGUGUCAUCAGAUCGGAAGGAGAGGAGACAUCCGUCUGAAGAAGGUGGCCAAUGACUUAUACGUACAGUCUAAGACUAGGAAUUCAAUUCUCCAUCGAGGACCUCGACACACACCAGUGAUCCUCUCCGUCCCGACCCCGGAUCAGGUGCGGCUGCGUGCUGGGACAGCGAGAUGGAACCGGAGCGAGGCCUGGACCGUGGUAUCAGCAUCCCAGCUGUGUCUGACUCUUCUUAGAAGACAUGUGGCAAAAAUGGAGACUGAAAGACGACUGCUACUGUGUCAUCUUUGACCUCUGACAUUAAUUUAUCGUGGACCUUGAAUGGAGUCCGUUGCUCUGAAGGUGAAAGGUCACGACCCUAUAUUGAAUGUAUUGUUGAAAGUAACAUGUAAUUCUGUCAUCAAGUGAUAGAAAUGUGGCUCCCCAUUUUAACCAUACGAGCACAUUCCUCUCGUAGGAUAUGAGUCAGAGUGAGAGGGUCAGAGACUCGACUGGUGAGUGAGAGCCACCAAUGAAGCAGAAAUGGUUUAUCGGACAAGUCCAAAAAGAGCUGUUUUCCUGUGUAUGUACCACUGAUUCAGUGAAAAAUCUAAAUCGGGUUGCGGUUCUUCCCCCUCCAGUGACACUAAACAGGCCGGUCCAAACCAUAAGCUUCAUAAACAAGAACGUCCGACUCCCCAUAUACGGCCAACGGCUCCUCAAAAGUGAUAACGGGGGCUGGUUUUCUCCGAUCAUUCGUUGCUCUUUCUGACUCACAGUUGCCCCAUCGGAGCUUCGCCUCCUCUUACCCGUGACUGACACCUCAUCCUGCCUCCUGCGUGAAAACAAGGAACAUCUUGACAGCUCGCUCUUCUGCCUUCUGUUUUGCUGGUGUUGCAUUCUUUCCGCAACAUUGGGGAACAUUUUGGGGGGGGUUUGGCCGUCCAGCAUUGUUUGUUUCCCCUUCUACUUUUUCCAGAGUCCACAGAGACCUGGGGGGUUAUCCAAAGCUCAACCUACAAGCCAGUGUGUAUGGCUUUUAUUAAUAAGCAUAGUGCGUAUUAUGCUUGUGGGAGGGAUGGUUGAUGUAUGAAGCAAGGAGCUGGCUUGUGUGACGGAGCACCUGACAACACAACAGUCACGCUGGACCUUUUGUUUAUUCCCUUUUCUGCUGUUUGCAGUAAUUCUUCUGAAAGUAUCCGCUGGGGUGUCGUGUUGCUGAUCAUGUGGUUGUGUAUUGUGGCAUGCACAUGUGGAGUGAACUGCAGCAAAUCAUGUACAAGUGUAUCAAGGUUAUAUUGAAACUGUGGUUGGAAUACUUUAAUUGAAUAUAAAUUGUGUUUUUGAACAUGUUGGCCAUUUCUUUGAGUUUAUAGAUCAUUUGAAGUCAUUAUGUAGAAUUUAAUUAUCUU